This 1244-nucleotide ribosomal RNA is filed under the name metagenome. RNAcentral describes it as "bacterial LSU rRNA". It matches the Rfam family "Bacterial large subunit ribosomal RNA", at positions 1564 to 2817 of the family's 2925-position model. The record is from RNAcentral.
UGAGUACGAGAUGCUACGGCAUCGAAGCAGUCUAUGUCAUACUUCCAAGAAAAGCUUGCACUGUCAUAAACAAAGAAUGCCUGUACCAUAACCGACACAGGUGGGUAGGUAGAGUAUACUAAGGGGCGCGAGAUAACUCUCUCUAAGGAACUCGGCAAAAUGACUCCGUAACUUCGGGAGAAGGAGUGCCUUAUUUCUAAGGUUGCAAUAACAAGAUCCAAGCAACUGUUUACCAAAAACACAGGUCUCCGCUAAGUCGUAAGACGAUGUAUGGGGGCUGACGCCUGCCCAGUGCCAGAAGGUUAAAGAAGUUGGUUAGCAUUAGCGAAGCUGAUAACUGAAGCCCUGGUGAACGGCGGCCGUAACAAUAACGGUCCUAAGGUAGCGAAAUUCCUUGUCGGGUAAGUUCCGACCCGCACGAAAGGCGUAAUGAUUUGGAUACUGUCUCGGAGAGGGGCUCGGUGAAAUAGACUUGUCUGUGAAGAUGCGGACUACCUGCACCUGGACAGAAAGACCCUAUGAAGCUUUACUGUAACUUGAGAUUGAAAUUGGACUUUAUUUGCGCAGUAUAGGUGGGAGGCGUUGAGAAUAAUCUUGCGGGAUUGUUGGAGCCAUCAGUGAGAUACCACUCUUGUAAUGUUAGAUUUCUAACUUUGUAUCAUUAUCUGGUCAAAGAACAGUUUCAGGCGGGCAGUUUGACUGGGGCGGUCGCCUCCCAAAAGGGUAACGGAGGCGCACAAAGGUUUCCUCUGAACGGGUAGAAAUCGUAUCUAGAGUGUAAAGGCAUAAGGAAGCUUGACUGUGAGACCUACAAGUCGAGCAGGGACGAAAGUCGGUCUUAGUGAUCUGACGGUGCUGAGUGGAAAGGCCGUCACUCAACGGAUAAAAGUUACUCUAGGAUAACAGGCUGAUCUCCCCCAAGAGUUCACAUCGACGGGGAGGUUUGGCACCUCGAUGUCGGCUCAUCGCAUCCUGGGGCGGUAGUCCGUCCCAAGGGUUGGGCUGUUCGCCCAUGAAAGCGGUACGCGAGCUGGGUUCAGAACGUCGUGAGACAGUUCGGUCCAUAUCCGGUGUAGGCGUUAGAAUAUUGAGAGGAGCCUUCUCUAGUACGAGAGGACCGAGAAGGACAUACCUCUGGUGUACCAGUUAUCGUGCCAACGGUAAACGCUGGGUAGCUAUGUAUGGAGUGGAUAACCGCUGAAAGCAUCUAAGUGGGAAGCCCACCUCAAGAUAAGUAUUCUCGU